CCAUUAGAUGUUCUGGGCCGCACGCGCGCUACACUGAUGCAUUCAACGAGUCUAAAACCUGGUCUGAUAGGGCUGGGUAAUCUUUUGAAAGUGCAUCGUGAUUGGGAUAGAUGAUUGCAAUUCUUCAUCUUCAACGAGGAAUGCCUAGUAAACGCAAGUCAUCAGCUUGCAUUGAUUACGUCCCUGCCCUUUGUACACACCGCCCGUCGCUCCUACCGAUUGAAUGAUCCGAUGAAUACCAUGGAUUGAGAGUACGAAUGGGUUCGCUCAUUUCUGCUGCUCGAGAAGUGGAGUAAAUCUUAUCAUUUAGAGGAAGGAGAAGUCGUAACA
This 330-nucleotide ribosomal RNA is filed under the name uncultured eukaryote. Its description in RNAcentral is "partial 18S ribosomal RNA". It matches the Rfam family "Eukaryotic small subunit ribosomal RNA", at positions 1470 to 1796 of the family's 1831-position model. The record is from RNAcentral.